Non-coding RNA from Dermacentor albipictus, 700 nucleotides. The record is from RefSeq and is a predicted model, not a curated record. Lineage: Eukaryota; Metazoa; Arthropoda; Arachnida; Ixodida; Ixodidae.
CUCAGGUUCCAAACCUUAGUCGAUAUGCAACAGCGCAGAGCAUGCUGAUUCCGACAUCUUCAUUUAUGGAUUCCAGGAUGAAGAGGAGGAUGAAGAGGAAGGAAGGAAAGGCGUCUUCCCCGGGGCCCGAUGCGAGUAGCGGGAAGACGACAAGAGCCCAGCAGACGCCGAAGAACCGAGCAGACAAAGAAACCCCUCCCCCUGCUGCUCCCCCACCUUGCCCCUCAACUUGCCCACCUCCCGCCACCUCUUUGAAGGAGUCUCUGAACGCAACACGGCGUCAAGCAGUUGACAGCGACUGGAAGCUGGAGCCAACGACGCAAUGGCCAAGCAAUAACGUAAAAAAAAAAACUUCGGUAGUUUUGUUUUAACUAGCUCAAGGGAAAAUGCCGGAGCUAAUGGCGCUUGAAGAAGAGAUGCUCAAGCGUAGACACACAGCCAAGACAGACAACUGGGUCCCGCAUUCGCACGAAACAAAACAAAACAAAAAAAAUCCGGCAGAAACUAUUUCGGGCUGACCGUCGAGCACAGAAGCAAAGUCCCGCGGAAACACGCCACGUGUGAGGCGCGUGCUUGCAGCCGGGCUCCUCUCUCGCACUUCCCCCUGGACACGCUGCGCCAUCUGGUGGCGGCGCCGUGAAGUCCGUGCGUGGCACGAGCCUGAAUAUAUAUCCACACAAUACUUUCUGAAUAUAAAUCA